GACGAACGCUGGCGGCGUGCUUAACACGUGCAAGUCGAACGGAAAGGCCCUGCUUUUGUGGGGUGCUCGAGUGGCGAACGGGUGAGUAACACGUGAGUAACCUGCCCUUGACUUUGGGAUAACUUCAGGAAACUGGGGCUAAUACCGGAUAGGAGCUCCUGCUGCAUGGUGGGGGUUGGAAAGUUUCGGCGGUUGGGGUUGGACUCGCGGCUUAUCAGCUUGUUGGUGGGGUAGUGGCUUACCAAGGCUUUGACGGGUAGCCGGCCUGAGAGGGUGACCGGCCACAUUGGGACUGAGAUACGGCCCAGACUCCUACGGGAGGCAGCAGUGGGGAAUAUUGCACAAUGGGCGGAAGCCUGAUGCAGCAACGCCGCGUGCGGGAUGACGGCCUUCGGGUUGUAAACCGCUUUCGCCUGUGACGAAGCGUGAGUGACGGUAAUGGGUAAAGAAGCACCGGCUAACUACGU
Molecule: ribosomal RNA, 467 nt
Filed under: uncultured bacterium
Lineage: Bacteria
Description: partial 16S ribosomal RNA
Rfam family: Bacterial small subunit ribosomal RNA
Source: RNAcentral